Molecule: non-coding RNA, 109 nt
Organism: Picea glauca (white spruce)
Lineage: Eukaryota; Viridiplantae; Streptophyta; Pinopsida; Pinales; Pinaceae
Source: Rfam
UACAACAUAGCAUUAAUGUAAUAAAUCCCAUAAGAACUUUGUAGUUAAGCACACUCAAGCUAGAGUAGUAAUGGGAUUGGUUACCACCCAAGAAGUCCCAAUGUUUUAC